AUCACUUCUCAGCCUUUUGGCUAAGAUCAAGUGUAGUAUCUGUUCUUAUCAGUUUAAUAUCUAAAAAAAUUUUUUUUUCUUUGAAAAAGAUCUUUUUAAAAAAGAUACAAAGCAACCCAAUUGUUAUGAGUUGAUGUACUUUCCUUGCUAGGAUUGAUUGGUGAUCAAGGAAAAUGAUUAUUUCCUUGUACCCAUUUCUG
Molecule: small nuclear RNA, 200 nt
Filed under: Peromyscus maniculatus bairdii (prairie deer mouse)
Lineage: Eukaryota; Metazoa; Chordata; Mammalia; Rodentia; Cricetidae
Description: U2 spliceosomal RNA (ENSPEMG00000030227.1)
Rfam family: U2 spliceosomal RNA (bases 1-121)
About the family: U2 is a small nuclear RNA (snRNA) component of the spliceosome (involved in pre-mRNA splicing).
Source: RNAcentral